GGAGAGAUGGCAGAGUGGUCGAAUGCACUCGACUUGAAAUCGAGCGUUGCGCAAGCAACCGAGGGUUCGAAUCCCUCUCUCUCCG
Molecule: transfer RNA, 85 nt
Filed under: Oscillatoriales cyanobacterium SM2_2_1
Lineage: Bacteria; Bacillati; Cyanobacteriota; Cyanophyceae; Oscillatoriales
Description: tRNA-Ser
Rfam family: tRNA
About the family: Transfer RNA (tRNA) molecules are approximately 80 nucleotides in length. Their secondary structure includes four short double-helical elements and three loops (D, anti-codon, and T loops).
Source: RNAcentral